AGUGAGGAAUAUUGCACAAUGAGCGCAAGCUAGAUGCAGCAACGCCGCGUGAACGAUGAAGGCCUUCGGGUUGUAAAGUUCUUUUGAGAGAGAAGAGUAAGGACUGUAUCUCUCGAAAAAGUCACGGCUAACUACGUGCCAGCAGCCGCGGUAACACGUAGGUGGCAAGCGUUAUCCGGAUUUAUUGGGCGUAAAGCGCGUGUAGGUGGCCAAGCAAGUCGGAUGUGAAAGCUCUGGACUUAACCUGGAGAGGUCAUUCGAUACUGUUUGGCUUGAGAGCGAGAGAGGGAAGCGGAAUUCCCGGUGUAGUGGUGAAAUGCGUAGAUAUCGGGAGGAACGCCAGUGGCGAAGGCGGCUUCCUGGUUCGUUUCUGACACUAAAGCGCGAAAGCGUGGGGAGCGAACGGACUUAGAUACUCCGGUAGUCCACGCUGUAAACGAUGGGUACUAGGUGUAGGGAGUAUUGACCCUCUCUGUGCCGUAGUUAACACGUUAAGUACCCCGCCUGAGGACUACGACCGCAAGGUUAAAACUCAAAGGAAUUGACGGGGACCCGCACAAGCAGCGGAGCGUGUGGUUUAAUUCGAUGAUACACGAAGAACCUUACCUGGGUUUGACAUGGUGGUAGUAGUGAAGCGAAAGCGGAACGAUCCUUCGGGAAGCCAUCACAGGUGCUGCAUGGCUGUCGUCAGCUCGUGCCGUGAGGUGUUGGGUUAAGUCCUGUAACGAGCGCAACCCUCGCUGCCAGUUACAAGUGUCUGGCGGGACUGCCGGUGAUAAACCGGAGGAAGGUGGGGAUGAUGUCAAGUCAGCAUGGCCUUUAUAUCCAGGGCUACACACACGCUACAAUGGCCGGUACAAUGGGUUGCCAAGCCGCGAGGCGGAGCUAAUCCUCAAAACCGGUCUCAGUUCGGAUUGCAGGCUGCAACCCGCCUGCAUGAAGUUGGAGUUGCUAGUAAACGCGCGUCAGCUAUAGUGCGUUGAAUACGUUCCCGGGUCUUGUACACACCGCCCGUCACGUCAUGGGAGUCGGUAACACCUGAAGUCGGUGGGCUAACCCGCAAGGGAGGCAGCUGUCGAAGGUGGGACUGGCGACUGGGACG
Molecule: ribosomal RNA, 1102 nt
Filed under: uncultured bacterium
Lineage: Bacteria
Description: bacterial SSU rRNA
Rfam family: Bacterial small subunit ribosomal RNA
Source: RNAcentral